Molecule: long non-coding RNA, 182 nt
Organism: Herpailurus yagouaroundi (jaguarundi)
Lineage: Eukaryota; Metazoa; Chordata; Mammalia; Carnivora; Felidae
Exons: 2
Source: RefSeq, a predicted model, not a curated record
GGUGCCUGGGUGGCUCAGUCGGUAGAGUGUCCAACUCUUGAUUUCGGCUCAGGUCAUGAUCUCAUGGUUCAUGAGUUUGAGCCCCACAUUGGGGUCUGCACCAACAGUGCGGAGCCGGCUUGGGGUUGUCCCUCUCUCUCUCUGUAUCUCUCUCUCUCUCUCUCUCUCUCUCUCUCUCCCUC